GCGCGGGUGGUGGAAUGGCAGACACGAGGGACUUAAAAUCCCUUCCUUGAAUAGGGGGUGAGGGUUCGACUCCCUCCCCGCGCA
This 84-nucleotide transfer RNA is filed under the name Candidatus Scalindua sp. Its description in RNAcentral is "tRNA-Leu". It matches the Rfam family "tRNA". From Rfam's summary of the family: Transfer RNA (tRNA) molecules are approximately 80 nucleotides in length. Their secondary structure includes four short double-helical elements and three loops (D, anti-codon, and T loops). Further hydrogen bonds mediate the characteristic L-shaped molecular structure. tRNAs have two regions of fundamental functional importance: the anti-codon, which is responsible for specific mRNA codon recognition, and the 3' end, to which the tRNAs corresponding amino acid is attached (by aminoacyl-tRNA synthetases). tRNAs cope with the degeneracy of the genetic code in two manners: having more than one tRNA (with a specific anti-codon) for a particular amino acid; and 'wobble' base-pairing, i.e. permitting non-standard base-pairing at the 3rd anti-codon position. The record is from RNAcentral. RNAcentral also lists the same sequence under 2 other names. Lineage: Bacteria; Pseudomonadati; Planctomycetota; Candidatus Brocadiia; Candidatus Brocadiales; Candidatus Scalinduaceae.